AGGCGCCCAAUCGCCGCGCCGGAGCGCCCUGAGUGACAGAACUCUGGACCAAUCAGCGGCUGCAGGCAGCGCUCAGCGACCAAUAGGAGAAGAGAAGGCGCCGGCGCGCCGCGAUUGAGGCGUGUUGGCGUGAUCGGCAGCCGGGCGGGCCAAUGGAAGCGCUGGGAUUCGCCGCCGUGCGUGGGCGGGACUGCGGCGUGCGCAGCCAAUGGAGCCGCGCACCGCCCCCGGGCAGCCCCGCGGGACGCCGCCAUUGGCCGGGGAAGCGGAAAUCACGGAAACGGCGGGGCGAGCACUGAGUGACGUUGGCCACGGCCAGUAGCUUGCAGCGCGCUCCUCCUCCCACCCCCGCCGCUCAGCGAUUGGAGGAGACGUUUGAUUGACGGCUGGCACAGCCAAUGAAGCGCGGGCAGCGGGAGGGGCGGAGCGUCGCUAGAAUGACAGGCGCGGGAAUCAAUCGGAGGCGGGACACGAGGUGACCAAUCACAACCCGCGUUGGGGGAGGUGGAGCGUGAUGGGCAGUGCGCCCAACCAAUAGCGUGCGUCCCCCUGCGCGCGCUGUCCAAUGAGCAUCGAGCGGCUAUUUUGGAGGGAAACGGCGGCCAAUCAGAGCCCGUGCCGCAGGGGCGGGGACGAGGCUGCGGCGCUCUGGGCCAAUCGCGUGCGAGGAGGUUUCCCCAUGCCCCGCCCCCGCCCUCCCAGUCCAUCCCAGUUCUCCCAGUCCGGUCUCUCAGAGCUCAAUAAAUAAAACUUUAUUGAUGGGGAAGGGGCGGGGCCACCUCGGCUCCUCCCACUCCCCCAGGCCUCGGUCCGGGAGGAAUUCACAGUAUUUUGGUUAAAAAAAAUCCCAAAGUGCCCCAGGGGUUACUUGGGGCACUUGGACAGCCCUGAAUGAGCACAGACAGCUGGUGCAGGUGUGCACAGCCAUGGCCAGGUGUGUCCAGGUGUGCACAGCCAUGGCCAGGUGUAUCCAGGUGUGUCUGCAGCCAUGGCCAGGUGUGCACAGGUGUGUCCAGGUGUGUCUGCAGCCAUGGCCAGGUGUGCCCAGCCCCAUCCAGGUGUGCACAGAUAUGUCUGCAGCCACAGCUGGGUGUACACAGCCCCAUCCAGAUGUGCCCAGGCGUCUGCAGCCAUGGCCAGGUGUGCACAGCUGUGCCCAGCUGUGUCUGCAGCCAUGGCCAGGUGUGUCCAGCUGUGCACAGGUGUGUCUGCAGCCAUGACCAGGUGUGCCCAGCUGUGCACAGGUGUGUCUGCAGCCAUGGCCAGGUGUGCCCAGCUGUGCACAGGUGUGUCUGCAGCCAUGGCCAGGUGUGCCCAGGUGUGCACAGGUGUGUCCAGGUGUGUCUGCAGCCAUGGCCAGGUGUGCCCAGCUGUGCACAGGUGUGUCUGCAGCCAUGGCCAGGUGUGCCCAGCUGUUCUCAGCUGUGCCCAGCUGUGUCUGCAGCCAUGGCCAGGUGUGCCCAGGUGUGCCCAGCUGUGCA
This is a long non-coding RNA of Parus major (Great Tit), 1481 nucleotides long. Lineage: Eukaryota; Metazoa; Chordata; Aves; Passeriformes; Paridae. The record is from Ensembl.